CCUAUUUUCAAAACGAUCUACGGAUUAAAAUUAAUAGUUGAUUAGAAAUAUUCUGUAAAUUUAUCAAUAACAUAUGUGACAUCUCUUAAAACAUCUAUUUUAAUUUAAAUCGUUAUAAAUUAUCGAUAAGUUUUUGUAGAUUAAGCUUAAAGUGUUGAAAGUUUACAGACGUAACGAUUUGUCGAUAAGAGUUGGAUACACGAAACGAUAUGGAAAGAGAGAGAGAGAGAGGGAGAGAGAGUAAAAAGAAAGGAAAGAUAAGGAUAGAUUAUAUUUGGUCGAGCGACGAGUGAGUUUGCGUGGGUUAUAUUCUCGCGUACCACAUAUGGAUGACGUAUAUCCGUUAUAAAGUUAUAUCUCGGUCACUUUGGUGAAAGUUGGCGUGAGAACGAGAUCCAGAAACGCGGUGAUUUACGCGGCCGAUUACGCGGUGGAAAAUGUGGAAAACCGUUGUGCAUCAAAGGGAGGAGCAAUGGACGAAAUUAUUGGGGCCACGGGGCCGAAACCCGUGCUUCCCCUUUAGACAUUUCAAUAACUCGGGAUCCAAUAUCCCGAACCCGCUGCAUCGAGGAGAACGAAGAAAAGAGCAUCGAAACCGGACUUAUUCGGAUUCUUCGCCGGGGAAUAAUCAGCAAAGAAUUUCUGACGUUUCCUACCGCCCUCCCCUCCCUCCUCCGGUGAUUAUUUCUUUUAAAUAUUUCAAUCUCUCGGAAUUCGAUAUUCCAAUUAUUCGGAAUCUGUCCACCUUCUUCGAAAGCGUCGAGAACGAUGCGACGAUGGAAAACGAGCGAUAAUAAGCAAUUCGAAUUCCACACGCUACAAGGUUUAUAUAUACAGGCAAUUUAUAUUAGAUGGAUAAAAGAUUCUGGAAAAAAAGGAUAGAGAAGGGAAAUUAAUUUAAACCCGGGAAAGUUUCCGGCUAAUAAGUUUGCCUUGUAUUAUUUAAUUUAGAUUAGGUUAAUCUGCAAGAAUCUGCAUAAAUUAUACGCUACCUCUUCUCAAUUUCUUCGCGCUUCAAAUUAUAAACUCGGAGUGUUUAUAUUCCACGAGGCAAGUCGCGUGGAAGAAUUGUACAGAGAACGCGCAGUGAUACGUAGUAGUAACCGUACACGCAUCGAUAGGAAAACAAACCGUCUCUCUCUCGCUCUGUCUCUUUCUCCCCCCACCUAUAAUAACUCGUCGUCGAAAAACAACAAUAUCCGUCCCGUGUCGCGUUCCCUCUUAGUUCUCGACACUCGUCCGUCCGCGAACGACGAAAUAUCAGUCGCUGCUGUCGCCGCGUGUUACGUGAAUACGCACGGUGAGAAAUACGACGUUUCCAAAAAGUUCGCUCGAGAAUGGCCGAUACAGCGACACCGUCGAUCGUGGCGACCACGAAGCGAAGCAAGGAAAAAGGACAUCUUUUUUUCGCGCAUGCUCGGAACGAGUGAUCGCCCGGUAGAUGGCAGCGCUUUCUGAAAUUCAGAAAUGGAGAAUCUAGCGAGGAACGUCGAUAUUCACGAAUUCGUCGAUUCGACGAAAAUCGAAGGAAGAAAAUCGCAAACGAGGAGGAAGGGGAAGAAGAACGGCGAGCGAAUGAGGAUUAAGCUCGAUUCGCGAGAGGCAAUUAAGCGACGUUCUUUGAUGGUCAUCUUCAAUGCAGCGUCCACUUAAGAUACUCUCGCACGAGUUUUAUCCUCAAAUGGAUUAACUUGAAUCGAUAUUUCAUCGUCUAUACAUUAUCCUUUCCAUCAUAGAUGCAAGUGACAAGGCUAUUACUGGUGGUAAA
RNAcentral lists this long non-coding RNA (1768 nucleotides) under Apis mellifera (honey bee). Its description in RNAcentral is "uncharacterized LOC113219270". The record is from RNAcentral. Lineage: Eukaryota; Metazoa; Arthropoda; Insecta; Hymenoptera; Apidae.